RNAcentral lists this ribosomal RNA (433 nucleotides) under uncultured bacterium. RNAcentral describes it as "partial 16S ribosomal RNA". It matches the Rfam family "Bacterial small subunit ribosomal RNA", at positions 38 to 507 of the family's 1533-position model. The record is from RNAcentral.
GGGGGGGGGGGGGGGGGGGCGUGGGGGAGGCGGGGCGAGCGAGGGGUGCGGGGUGAGGGGCGCACGGGGGCGUGACGCGGGGGAAUCUGCGCCUUGCUGCGGAAGGACGGUGAGAAAUGACUGCUAAUACCGGAGGAAGUCUUCGGACCAAAGAUUUAUCGGCAAGGGAUGAGCCCCCGUAGGAUUAGGUAGUUGGUGGGGUAAAGGCCUACCAAGCCGACGAUCCUUAGCUGGUCUGCGAGGAUGAUCAGCCACACUGGGACUGAGACACGGCCCAGACUCCUACGGGAGGCAGCAGUGGGGAAUAUUGGACAAUGGAAGAAAGUCUGCUCCAGCAAUGCCGCGUGAGUGAUGAAGGCAUUAGGGUUGUAAAGCUCUUUUACCAGGGAUGAUAAUGACAGUACCUGGAGAAUAAGCUGCGGCUAACUCCGUG